UAUAAAUGAACUUAUAAACGUACUCAUAAGCCUAAUUAACAAGCCAACUCAUGAAACCAUUAAAUGAACCUGUUCAACAAGCCUUCAAACAAGUCUGAUCACAAAUUUGUUCAAUAAACCUGUUCGCAAGCCUUCAAAUGAGCUACCAAGCGAGCAUAUAAACGAGUCUCACAAAUUUUAACAAACCGAUUAGUUAUUUCUGAUAGUUUAACCUAUUUCUAAUACAUCUUGCAAGGUAUUUUUUUCAUGAAAUUAAUAGAACUUUAUAUUCUCUUGAUAAAUCUACAAGAAAAGUGAUCUAUAUUCAUCUGCCUCUUGAGCCAUCUCCUCUAUACUUCUGUCUUUCCUUUCCUUGUCUAAAUCUAGCUUUUUCUUUAAUUCCUUCUCCCUCUCAUCGAUUGCAUCAUAGAUCUCAUCAUUACUCUCAAAGUCUCCGCCUUUCCUUGGGAGGAUGUGGAUAUGAACAUGGGGCACUGUCUGUCCUGCCUGGGGACCAUCUUGAAUUGUAAAAGUAAGAGAUGUUGCAUGGUGGUGGCUCUCAAGCCGACUGCCAAUUUUCUGUGCCAUAAGCCAUAAAUCACUAGUCUCAUCAACAGUGAGAUCAAUAAAACGCUUCACUUCUCGCCUUGGGCAGACCAGCACAUGUACAUAAAGUCAAGCCAACCAAAUUGAAUGCCAACAAACUGAACACUUAAUCCUGACAAAUUACAUCAAAACCAUUUUCGAUACUAAAAAAAAAAAAGAAAAGAUCAAACCACAUAAAAGUGAAUAUUCUUAAGUGAUCAUUUCACUACACAAGAUCAAUGAUUAUGAUGUUUUGCCAUUAACCUUGUAUAAGUGUUGAAUGCAUAUGCAAGUCAGUAUGCGCCUCUAGUCUUCUUUGCAAUGUAAUUGAUCUAUUUAUAUAAAAGAAUGUUUGCACACCAAAUCAUGUGCUUAAGCAUUGCCACUAGCUUUAGAUGUUAGAUAAACAAACGGUAUUAUUCUGUCUACCCUCUGUUCCAGUGGCUGAGUUCAUUUGCAUGAGAAUGAUAAAAUACGUAGUUAGAAUCAUAAGAUUCUCAAUUCAAAUCUUCUCCACCAUAGCAAUUUGAACCUAAAAGCUGAAUCACAAAAUACCUGAAUUGAGGCCAAAUUAAGUGAUUACAUGAUCAGGCAUAUCAAUUUGAAUUGAUUGAUUCACUCAUUCUUUCCUUCUUGGGAUUGUAGGAACCUAUAGGCCUAAAACUCAAAAUUACAUUCAAUCCUACUCCUUAAACCCUCCUCAAAUAUAUUGAAAAACUAUUAUUUUUCUUUGAAAAAAAAAAAAAUCCAAAUACCUAACAAGGGACCAAAUCCAAACAGCUCUUCAUGUUGUACAUUCUCUACCCUUAAAUCAGUAUUCCCACACUAUUCCAAUAUUUCCCCGACCAAUAACAAACAAUUGAGUUUUAAAAAUGAUGACAUCGUUAUCCCUUUUUUGACCUUUUAUGUUUAGGCAGUAUCAUAAACAUGGACAGCCACCACAUGUCAUGAAAGCUAACACACACUUACGUUGACAAAGUGAUGCAGUAUUGGAUUAAAAUUAAGAUUUAUAGUUAUCAGAGAAUUAGGAAAUUUAAAAUUUUAUUAUUUAUGAAUUUUAUUAUUAUUAGGUUUAGUAUUUUAUUUCAAAGUUUAUCUCAUCAAAGUAUUCCUAAUUAGAAUUGAAUUGGAUUCCUAAAAUCCUAAUGUGAUUAGGUUUGUAACUAUAUAAAUAGGCCUAGCUUUUCUAUUUUAAUUAGCUUGAUUUUCAAGAUUAUUAUUGAGAAUAAAUAAAGUUUAGCUAAGAAUUAGUUUCUCAUUGGUCUAGAGAAAUUGUUUCUCUUUUCCUAGGGAUUUAUUUCCUUUGACCUAUUUGUUCUACAUCAGUUUGGUAUCCAAGCUUGUUCUGCAUCACAAAGUAUAGAGAUCAUAAGUAGAAAAACAAAGAGCAGAGCUUUACAACUUUUUCCACAUAAGGCUACGUGAUAUGAAAUCAAUUUUUAUUUAAGUUAUUUAUGCAUUUACAAUUUAGAAAAACUGAUCAUGGUGGGACUCUAGCCCACAUUUCUUGAUUUACUAGCAAGCACAUAUCCAAGUACCAUAAGCUCACUCUAUAUUAGUCAAAAUAUAUCAUGUUUUUAUGUAUUUUGUUUGUUUAACAUAGAUGUAUAUUGAUUUCAAUUGAUUUUGAGAAUUUGUACAUCUUACAGCUUUUAUUUGAUUCUCGAUUCAUAAAACAAGAAUUUCAAAGCUUGAUUUGAAAACUAUGAUAAAAUCAAAUCCAAUAAUCCAGAGCUCAAAAUCUCCAUAGCCCUGAGUAUAAUUCAUACCUUAAGGAAACUAGAUGAUGAACCUGAAAAAUUAAGCCAGUCUACGGAAAGUGGGAAUUGAUCACUCUUUUUUUACAAUCCCAAGUGAUAAUUUGAACAGGUUCACUUCAUCUGUCAGCAGGAGUUUGGUAAUGUUUUUGAACCCCAAGCAACCUAUAAUGAUGUAAUGUUAUUACAUUUUACACGCACCCUCUCUAUAGUUUUCCUAUUAAUCAAGCACUUUGAACUUGUGCAACAGAAGCAUAAUUUUGCAUGCCUCCAACAAGGGCAUUUACUGCAUAAUUCAAUUGACAACACAUUGCAUCAAUCAAGUGCAACUAUGUCUUAUUAAUUGAAGUGCCAAACAAGAUUACCCCUAACAUAAUUUUACUCAUGAAUGCAAAACUAAUGCAUGUGAGUAUAAACUCCAAUACAUCAUUAUAACUUUUGACUGCCAAAGGAUAUGACCAGGAACAACAGGACGGAGGUUGACCAUGGCAUAGGAGAGCUCAGAAGAGUAAAAUACUUCCUUCGGCUCAAUUUUGUAGGGCCCGAACAUAUAGUGCUCUGUCGACAUCUUGGUGGCGGCGGUGGAGGAGAUGGGUCGGAACCCUCUGGCGGAGCAACGAGAAAGGCAAUAUCUAGCGUGUGCGUGGGUGAGAGG
This 2976-nucleotide unclassified non-coding RNA is filed under the name Hevea brasiliensis (rubber tree). The record is from RNAcentral. Lineage: Eukaryota; Viridiplantae; Streptophyta; Magnoliopsida; Malpighiales; Euphorbiaceae.